GGGACGAUGGCGCAGUUGGGAGCGCGUUCGACUGAAGUUCACUUCAUCAUAUAAGCCCUUACAGGUUAAUCGAGAGGUCGUCGGUUCAAACCCGGCUCGUCCCA
Molecule: transfer RNA, 104 nt
Filed under: Aspergillus alliaceus
Lineage: Eukaryota; Fungi; Ascomycota; Eurotiomycetes; Eurotiales; Aspergillaceae
Rfam family: tRNA
About the family: Transfer RNA (tRNA) molecules are approximately 80 nucleotides in length. Their secondary structure includes four short double-helical elements and three loops (D, anti-codon, and T loops).
Source: Rfam by way of RNAcentral